AAAGUGCUUCCUAGGAGUUGUCCUUGGAAGAUAAAGGGAACCACUGAGGCAAAACAAGAGUAAAUCAGGAGACACCUAUCAAAGCCCAUAUGGAGAAUGUCUCUUCCUACAGAUAAACACAAGUUAAUUG
Molecule: long non-coding RNA, 130 nt
Organism: Gavialis gangeticus (Gharial)
Lineage: Eukaryota; Metazoa; Chordata; Crocodylia; Gavialidae
Exons: 3
Source: RefSeq, a predicted model, not a curated record